This 497-nucleotide ribosomal RNA is filed under the name uncultured bacterium. Its description in RNAcentral is "partial 16S ribosomal RNA". It matches the Rfam family "Bacterial small subunit ribosomal RNA", at positions 28 to 507 of the family's 1533-position model. The record is from RNAcentral.
GAUGAACGCUGGCGGCGUGCCUAAUACAUGCAAGUCGAGCGAACAGACGAGGAGCUUGCUCCUCUGACGUUAGCGGCGGACGGGUGAGUAACACGUGGAUAACCUACCUAUAAUACUGGGAUAACUUCGGGAAACCGGAGCUAAUACCGGAUAAUAUAUUGAACCGCAUGGUUCAAUAGUGAAAGACGGUUUUGCUGUCACUUAUAGAUGGAUCCGCGCCGUAUUAGCUAGUUGGUAAGGUAACGGCUUACCAAGGCGACGAUGCGUAGCCGACCUGAGAGGGUGAUAGGCCACACUGGAACGGAGACACGGUCAAGACUCCUACGGGAGGCAGCAGUAGGGAAUCUUCCGCAAUGGGCGAAAGCCUGACGGAGCAACGCCGCGUGAGUGAUGAAGGUCUUCGGAUCGUAAAACUCUGUUAUUAGGGAAGAACAAAUGUGUAAGUAACUAUGCACGUCUUGACGGUACCUAAUCAGAAAGCCACGGCUAACUACGUG